AUAUCUCUCUGUACGGGAAGGAUGAGAAGCUUCGACCAAGGUUCGAUUCGAGCGUCAGCGAGAAAGCGUUGCCGCAGGCAACGACCCGAAGGGCGAAGC
This 99-nucleotide small RNA is filed under the name Salmonella enterica subsp. enterica. RNAcentral describes it as "partial RtT sRNA". It matches the Rfam family "RtT RNA", at positions 1 to 97 of the family's 130-position model. Rfam says of the family: This family represents a bacterial cis-regulatory element known as RtT RNA. The exact function of RtT is unknown although it is thought that it may be involved in changing the cellular response in relation to amino acid starvation. The record is from RNAcentral. Lineage: Bacteria; Pseudomonadati; Pseudomonadota; Gammaproteobacteria; Enterobacterales; Enterobacteriaceae.